Calypte anna (Anna's hummingbird) is the source of this 975-nucleotide long non-coding RNA. RefSeq lists it as uncharacterized. The record is from RefSeq and is a predicted model, not a curated record. Lineage: Eukaryota; Metazoa; Chordata; Aves; Apodiformes; Trochilidae. The transcript has 3 exons.
CGGUCCCCGGUCCCGGUCCGCCGCCUUCAGCCGGCCAGCGGGCACCGUCCCCGUGGGGCAGCGGGACGUGGUGGCUCCCUUCGGAUUUGGCAGUAGUGGGUUGGUAGCGCGGCUUCCCCCCGCUCUGGAGCGAGGCGUGGGUGCUCUCCUGAGGGUCUCCAGCCCCACCGGAGCCACCUGGGAAUAAGUCCCGGAGUCACAGAACGGUUUGGGUUGGAAGGGGCCUUGAAGGUCAUCUCCUUCCAACCCCCCUGCACGGCAGGGACACCAAAGCCGCAUCCAACCUGGGCUUGAACGCUUCCAGGGAGGAGGCAACCGCAGCCUCACAGGGUCUGUGUCUCACCAUCUUCACACUGAAGAUUUUCUUCCUGAUGUCUGACUUAAAUCUGCCCCCUUCCAGUUUAAAGCCAUCGCUGCUCUAGCAGGGCGGCUGCAGUUCCAGGGUGGGAGCUUCAAAAAGCAGGACCUGAAGCCAACGUUAAAGAAAAUUCAGUGGAAGACGUUGGUAAAUAAUAAUCAUCUAUCAACCUGCCUGUGAACUGAAGCACCUCCACCCACGGCUGAACAGCCCUUCAGCCCCAGAUGCUCUGCAACAUCUAACGCUGGGGAGGUGCUGCACUGGUGGAGUGUCUUUAGCAAGCAAGGAGCCACUUCAUCUAUUUCCAAUUAAAUGACUCAGCCAAGCUGAGCAGGAUCAGCAGAUAAUGAAAAUCUGGGUGUAUAUGGAGGAAAAGACACAGCACAAAUGCCAGGGAAAUGUGCCCAGGAGGUAGCUGGAAAGCCAAGGUUUCUGACACGAAGAGACAGUGCAUGGUUGGGAAACAAUAAAAAUCCACCUCUCAGCCCCCUUGACUGGGGCAGGGGGGAGCACAUUCCACCUGGGCUCCACUGCCUUCUCUUUGUCCAGCCAAUGCAAACACCAAUCUGACAGAAUCCCAGGUUGCUCCGGGGUCUCAUUUCCAGUGGCCAACACCC